This 322-nucleotide ribosomal RNA is filed under the name uncultured Sandonidae. RNAcentral's name for it is "bacterial SSU rRNA". The stretch from base 61 to 322 matches the Rfam family "Eukaryotic small subunit ribosomal RNA", at positions 693 to 955 of the family's 1831-position model. Lineage: Eukaryota; Cercozoa; Glissomonadida; Viridiraptoridae. The record is from RNAcentral.
GAUUUCUGGGCUCAAGAAUUUGGCCGGCCACGGUUUCGUGUGUUAGUGCUUUGUUCUGUGUCCAUCCUUCCAAUCGCCCUUGGCUCUUCUUCAUUGAUUGGUCAGGGGCAUUGGAUCUUUUACUUUGAAAAAAUUAGAGUGUUUCAAGCAGGCUUUAUGCUAUGAAUACAUUAGCAUGGAAUAAUAAUUUAGGACUUCGGUUCUAUUUUGUUGGUUUCUAGGACUGAAGUAAUGAUUGAUAGGGAUAGUUGGGGGUGCUAGUAUUCAGCGGCCAGAGGUGAAAUUCUCGGAUUCGCUGAAGACUAACUUAUGCGAAAGCAUU